AAUGGACUUGAGUUUUCUCUUCCAGACUUCUACUCAAAAAAGGGUAUUAUUCACCAAAAAAGUUGCGUUGAAACACCACAACAAAAUGGUUUGGUAGAAAGAAAACAUCAGCACAUUUUGAAGAUAGCACGAGCCCUUAGGUUUCAAUCUGGAGUUCCUAUGCAAUUUUGGAAUGAAUGUGUAAUGACUGCUGUACAUUUAAUAAAUAGGACUCCUACACCCCUGCUGUAUAACAGAACUCCAUAUGAAAUUUUGUUUGUACAUAAGCCUUCUUACUCUCACUUACGUGUUUUUGGUUGCUUGGCAUUUGCAUCCACUCUAGCACAUGGAAGAAGAAAAUUUGACCCUAGAAGCAGAAAGUCAGUUUUUCUAGGAUAUCCCUUUGGAGUAAAAGGUUAUAAACUCCUUGAACUGGCCACCAAUACCAUUUUCCUUUCUCGUAAUGUCAUCUUCCAUGAAAAAUAUUUUCCUUUCCAAGUUUCUACUACCUCUUCUCACACAACAGAUUGUUCUUCAACUCAUGUUGCUCUUCGAAAGUCCACCAGAACUCGUACAGUUCCCAAGUACUUGCAAGAUUUCCAUUGUCAACAGGCUUCUUCAAUUUCACCCAUACAGGUCAACUCAACUCACCAUUCUCCAUCGUCGCCUAAGAUGAGCUCUUCUACUUCAGGUAAACCUUCAUCUCUUACUCAUUCUUUGUCUUAUCAAAGAUUAUCACCCACAUUUCAUGCUUUCACCACUUCAAUCUCUAGUCACACUGAACCAAUUACCUAUGAUGAGGCAAUUAAGGACCCUAACUGGUUUGAUGCAAUGGAAACUGAACUCUCUGCCCUUGAACAGAAUCACACUUGGACCCUCACCACUCUUCCUCCUAAUAAGCGUGCCUUAGGGUGUAAGUGGGUUCACAAGUUGAAAUAUAAUUCUGAUGGUACAUUAGAACGUCACAAGGCACGCCUAGUUGCUAAGGGCUACACGCAACAAGAG
This 984-nucleotide long non-coding RNA is filed under the name Olea europaea subsp. europaea. Lineage: Eukaryota; Viridiplantae; Streptophyta; Magnoliopsida; Lamiales; Oleaceae. The record is from RNAcentral.